AAAAGAAAUCACACGCUCAUCCCCAGAUCCCAGCUAACCGCAAAUCAAAGCCUCUCUUAUCCCUUCUUCGGAACAAAUCCCAGCAUUACGAUUCAUCUUCACCCCAUGUCAAAGCUCCUUCCAAAUCCCUUGCGUUCCACGACAUUCACCCAGCUCACCAUGUUCAUGAUUUGUCUUCAUCCCGUAUCCAAACAAAAUCCCUUGCUCCCAGCUGCUUCAUCCUCCCGAAUCCCACUAUCAGCCACAUCAUCCUUCCCAGCAUCUUCCAGGCCAUCAUCCCCUUCUCCCGUGUUCCAACGAAACAGAGCCGAAUCCAUCUCUAUCGCAUUUCAACUCAUCUCUCAUCCUAUGCUUUGAAACCAAGUUCCGGAUCAACCACAUCCGCAGCCAUUCCCGAGCUUCUUCUCAUUCUGGAUUGAUCCUAUCAUCCAUAGGAUAAGGUUUAGGUGUUCAUUCCGAAGCUAGAUCCCAUGAUCUUCGGAUCAAACUUUCUCCCCUGCUUCCGAAUUUCCCAGAUUUCUUCCCAACUGCCAGACGUCCCAGCUUCAUCUCUUCCAAACUUCCUUCAUCCAUACGUUCCAGAUCCCCUGUUUCAUGCGUUUUCAUCUCAGCCAAAUCCAAACUUCCUCGUCCAUGGAUCCCUUCACGCUCACGAAUCUAUUGUUUCCUCCCAUUCACGAAUGCAUCUCAGUCGGAUCAGCUCCAUCCAACAGCAUCCGAGCCUUCUCCGCGUCUACUUCUCUUCCACGUUGAAGAAGCGUGGGUUUCUUCCUCUCAUUCCCAGCAUCCACAAGCU
RNAcentral lists this long non-coding RNA (796 nucleotides) under Phoenix dactylifera (date palm). RNAcentral describes it as "long non-coding RNA (PDAC_LNC018040)". The record is from RNAcentral. Lineage: Eukaryota; Viridiplantae; Streptophyta; Magnoliopsida; Arecales; Arecaceae.